This 588-nucleotide unclassified non-coding RNA is filed under the name Bradyrhizobium sp. STM 6209. RNAcentral describes it as "partial 16S-23S ribosomal RNA intergenic spacer". The stretch from base 21 to 93 matches the Rfam family "tRNA". The record is from RNAcentral. Lineage: Bacteria; Pseudomonadati; Pseudomonadota; Alphaproteobacteria; Hyphomicrobiales; Nitrobacteraceae.
AGCAUUCGUCUUCUGGUUACGGGGCCAUAGCUCAGCUGGGAGAGCGCGUGCUUUGCAAGCAUGAGGUCGUCGGUUCGAUCCCGUCUGGCUCCACCAGAUGGUUUGAUCGAUCGACUGAUCGUGCACCAAAAUCGUCCGCGAAACAUCACUUCGCACUUGUUAGUCCGGAUGGACAGCAAGCUGCGUGAUUUCUGACAUCGUAAAGAGGAGAUCGAUCCGAGUUGGAUCGUGCGGCAAGCAAUUGCCACGCGAGACUUCAUUAUCUCCGGAUCAUUUCGGCGCUCGUGCGCCUUUCAGUGUAGCUCACAAGGCUGCAUCUGGGAGAUGCGUGAGUUGUAAAUGAUCCUUUUAGCGAAGCUUGACCGCCUCGCUAUCGGAACGAUCUUACGAAGCAAGCUGGUCUUUCUAAUCAUUGUCCGGCUGCAGAUAGCGUUCAUCGAGGGCGCGUGCCGCAAGGUAAUUCUGCAGACAACAUUCUGCCGAGUGUGUGGACAUUGAUAAUGAGAGCAAUCAAGUGCCUUAAGGGUGUUCGGUGGAUGCCUUGGCGCUGAGAGGCGAUGAAGGACGUGCUACGCUGCGAUAAGCCGU